RNAcentral lists this unclassified non-coding RNA (334 nucleotides) under rhizosphere metagenome. Its description in RNAcentral is "partial ribosomal RNA internal transcribed spacer region". The record is from RNAcentral.
ACGUAUCCAACGUUAAAAACCCCGUGAACCUUCAUCGCCGCUCCUCAUGGCUAAGUCUUGGGUAAAGCCAAACAGCAAUCCCUGCAUUCGUCGAGAAAUUUGAAAGAGGAGGGACCUCUGUUUGACAGAGCACUGUGGGUUUAAUUAAGGUGGCUUGUUUUUCCCCAAGCAAUCAGGAAUGUCAGUGUUUCUGAUUGUCUAAGGAUUUCGCUUGACGAUCACUGGAGGUCGAUUACCGACCGGUGGAACAAGUCACAGGGCUUCGGCUCCCUCCCAACCCCACUUUCUAUUGCCGCUCCUCGCUACAACUGUUAACAAUGGAGAUCUUGGUUCU